Molecule: long non-coding RNA, 1144 nt
Filed under: Cricetulus griseus (Chinese hamster)
Lineage: Eukaryota; Metazoa; Chordata; Mammalia; Rodentia; Cricetidae
Description: lncRNA (ENSCGRG00015038819.1)
Source: RNAcentral
CCUUCACCGAAGAGUCUGCGAGAGCCAGGCCACACGUGGGCGCCUCCGCGUUCUACAAGCUGGAAGCUCCUUCCACUCCUCUCUGGACCUUGGUGUAGAAGAGGUGUCUUCGCACAUCUCAAGGUGCCGCCGCUGGAGUGUUUCUGGUCCUCUGGGUCUCCACUUUCUCUUUUCCAGGGUAGCCAGAGGCUGCUUUUGAACUAGAAAUCCCAGAGCCCUCAGGCAGAUCUGGGUACUGUAAAACAUGUACCACAUUCCCCCUCCGAACCCACAUCCUGCUCUCUAAAAAUAAUAACCACCAUCCCCAAAUGCUCGAGUGCAUAAGACAAUUUGUCGAGGAAGGACCAUUGAGGAGCCCGUGGAGGUGCGCUUCCAGCGUUUUCCGUGUUCUCUUGCAAGAUCUCUAGGCUCCAAAGUGUCACUCCCAUUUAGAGGUGCUGGGAGGUGAAAAGCAUUCCGGCCUCUGGAAGGUUUCCAGAAGAAAAGGAAAGUCCCUGGCCUGUGGAGAACAGUCCAUGUCUUUGCUGCACAAGCAACUGUCUGCCCCUAGAUGUGACUGGACCUUAUAGUCUAAGCUUGCCUUGAUCUGUUUAUCUGAGUCAAAAAUGCAUUACCAAUUAAAGGAGAGACUGGUAUGUCAAAGGAAGGAAGGUGACUGGAGACUGUGAUGAUUUUAAUGACUGCAAUUAUUGGAAGAUUAUUCAACAAGCAUCAUAGGUUUGUUUACUGUACCACUGGGAAACUAUGGGGGGCCUGUUUGGCUUGAGGCUGUACUUUCCUUCCUCACCAACCAUGAUGAGGGAGUCCCAUACAGGAGAGUCAGUUUUCUUCUUUUUAAGAGAAGUUUAAGAGGCUGUUGCCUCAAACAAGGCUAACAGAACCAUCCUUGGAGCCACUGUAAGAUCUUCUUAUUUUCAUCUGAACCUUGGUUAUCCAAGAAGGCCAGAGGAUUCUAGUCAUGAGCCCUCUUCUGGCCAGCACACCAGUUCCCUCAGUUUAAGCACUCCCCAGGCAGCAUGAGGGGAGGCUUCUUCACCUUCCAGCUUUUUCCUCCUUCCUCUAAAGCUCAGAGAAGGAAGACACUCCACCUAUAAGAAGCACACUUCCCAGAGCUCUGGGAAAGUUCCUCUUCCCUUUCUUCAAC